RNAcentral lists this ribosomal RNA (478 nucleotides) under uncultured bacterium. RNAcentral describes it as "partial 16S ribosomal RNA". It matches the Rfam family "Bacterial small subunit ribosomal RNA", at positions 28 to 523 of the family's 1533-position model. The record is from RNAcentral.
GACGAACGCUGGCGGCGUGCUUAACACACGCAAGUCGAACGGUAAGGCCCUUCGGGGUACACGAGUGGCGAACGGGUGAGUAACACGUGGGUGAUCUGCCCUGCACUUCGGGAUAAGCCUGGGAAACUGGGUCUAAUACCGGAUAGGACUCCGGACUGCAUGGUCUGGGGUGGAAAGCUUUUGCGGUGUGGGAUGGGCCCGCGGCCUAUCAGCUUGUUGGUGGGGUGAUGGCCUACCAAGGCGACGACGGGUAGCCGGCCUGAGAGAGUGACCGGGCACACUGGGACUGAGAUACGGCCCGGACUCCUACGGGAGGCAGCAGUGGGGAAUAUUGCACAAUGGGCGCAAGCCUGAUGCAGCGACGCCGCGUGAGGGAUGACGGCCUUCGGGUUGUAAACCUCUUUCAGCACCGACGAAGCGCAAGUGACGGUAGGUGCAGAAGAAGGACCGGCCAACUACGUGCCAGCCGCCGCCGUAA